GAUCCUGGCUCAGAUUGAACGCUGGCGGCAGGCCUAACACAUGCAAGUCGGGCGGUAGCACAAAGAGCUUGCUCUCGGGUGACGAGCGGCGGACGGGUGAGUAAUGUCUGGGAAACUGCCUGAUGGAGGGGGAUAACUACUGGAAACGGUAGCUAAUACCGCAUAAUGUCGCAAGACCAAAGUGGGGGACCUUCGGGCCUCAUACCAUCAGAUGUGCCCAGAUGGGAUUAGCUAGUAGG
RNAcentral lists this ribosomal RNA (239 nucleotides) under uncultured bacterium. Its description in RNAcentral is "partial 16S ribosomal RNA". It matches the Rfam family "Bacterial small subunit ribosomal RNA", at positions 15 to 252 of the family's 1533-position model. The record is from RNAcentral.